GACGAACGCUGGCGGCGUGCUUAACACAUGCAAGUCGAACGGAAAGGCCCUGCUUUUGUGGGGUGCUCGAGUGGCGAACGGGUGAGUAACACGUGAGUAACCUGCCCUUGACUUUGGGAUAACUUCAGGAAACUGGGGCUAAUACCGGAUAGGAGCUCCUGCUGCAUGGUGGGGGUUGGAAAGUUUCGGCGGUUGGGGAUGGACUCGCGGCUUAUCAGCUUGUUGGUGGGGUAGUGGCUUACCAAGGCUUUGACGGGUAGCCGGCCUGAGAGGGUGACCGGCCACAUUGGGACUGAGAUACGGCCCAGACUCCUACGGGAGGCAGCAGUGGGGAAUAUUGCACAAUGGGCGGAAGCCUGAUGCAGCAACGCCGCGUGCGGGAUGACGGCCUUCGGGUUGUAAACCGCUUUCGCCUGUGACGAAGCGUGAGUGACGGUAAUGGGUAAAGAAGCACCGGCUAACUACGUGCCAGCAGCCGCGGUGAUACGUAGGGUGCGAGCGUUGUCCGGAUUUAUUGGGCGUAAAGGGCUCGUAGGUGGUUGAUCGCGUCGGAAGUGUAAUCUUGGGGCUUAACCCUGAGCGUGCCUUCGAUACGGGUUGACUUGAGGAAGGUAGGGGAGAAUGGAAUUCCUGGUGGAGCGGUGGAAUACGCAGAUAUCAGGAGGAACACCAGUGGCGAAGGCGGUUCUCUGGGCCUUUCCUGACGCUGAGGAGCGAAAGCGUGGGGAGCGAACAGGCUUAGAUACCCUGGUAGUCCACGCUGUAAACGGUGGGUACUAGGUGUGGGGUCCAUUCCACGGGUUCCGUGCCGUAGCUAACGCUUUAAGUACCCCGCCUGGGGAGUACGGCCGCAAGGCUAAAACUCAAAGGAAUUGACGGGGCCCCGCACAAGCGGCGGAGCAUGCGGAUUAAUUCGAUGCAACGCGUAGAACCUUACCUGGGUUUGACAUGGAUCGGGAGUGCUCAGAGAUGGGUGUGCCUCUUUUGGGGUCGGUUCACAGGUGGUGCAUGGCUGUCGUCAGCUCGUGUCGUGAGAUGUUGGGUUAAGUCCCGCAACGAGCGCAACCCUUGUUCACUGUUGCCAGCACGUUAUGGUGGGGACUCAGUGGAGACCGCCGGGGUCAACUCGGAGGAAGGUGGGGAUGACGUCAAGUCAUCAUGCCCCUUAUGUCCAGGGCUUCACGCAUGCUACAAUGGCUGGUACAGAGAGUGGCGAGCCUGUGAGGGUGAGCGAAUCUCGGAAAGCCGGUCUCAGUUCGGAUUGGGGUCUGCAACUCGACCUCAUGAAGUCGGAGUCGCUAGUAAUCGCAGAUCAGCAACGCUGCGGUGAAUACGUUCCCGGGGCU
RNAcentral lists this ribosomal RNA (1346 nucleotides) under uncultured bacterium. Its description in RNAcentral is "partial 16S ribosomal RNA". It matches the Rfam family "Bacterial small subunit ribosomal RNA", at positions 28 to 1381 of the family's 1533-position model. The record is from RNAcentral.